AUUGAACGCUGGCGGCAUGCCUUUACACAUGCAAGUCGAACGGUAACAGGUCUUCGGAUGCUGACGAGUGGCGAACGGGUGAGUAAUACAUCGGAACGUGCCCGAUCGUGGGGGAUAACGCAGCGAAAGCUGUGCUAAUACCGCAUACGAUCUACGGAUGAAAGCGGGGGAUCGCAAGACCUCGCGCGGACGGAGCGGCCGAUGGCAGAUUAGGUAGUUGGUGGGGUAAAGGCUCACCAAGCCUUCGAUCUGUAGCUGGUCUGAGAGGACGACCAGCCACACUGGGACUGAGACACGGCCCAGACUCCUACGGGAGGCAGCAGUGGGGAAUUUUGGACAAUGGGCGCAAGCCUGAUCCAGCCAUGCCGCGUGCAGGAUGAAGGCCUUCGGGUUGUAAACUGCUUUUGUACGGAACGAAAAGGUCUGCCUUAAUACGGCGGGCCCAUGACGGUACCGUAAGAAUAAGCACCGGCUAACUACGUG
RNAcentral lists this ribosomal RNA (483 nucleotides) under uncultured bacterium. RNAcentral describes it as "bacterial SSU rRNA". It matches the Rfam family "Bacterial small subunit ribosomal RNA", at positions 30 to 507 of the family's 1533-position model. The record is from RNAcentral.